AUACGUAGGUGGCGAGCGUUAUCCGGAUUUACUGGGUGUAAAGGGCGCGUAGGCGGGGGCGCAAGUCAGGUGUGAAAUCUAUGGGCUUAACCCAUAAACUGCACUUGAAACUGCAUCUCUUGAGUGCUGGAGAGGUAGACGGAAUUCCUUGUGUAGCGGUGAAAUGCGUAGAUAUAAGGAAGAACACCAGUGGCGAAGGCGGUCUACUGGACAGUAACUGACGCUGAGGCGCGAAAGCGUGGGGAGCAAACAGGAUUAGAUACCCUGGUAGUCCACGCUGUAAACGAUGAAUACUAGGUGUGGGGGGACUGACCCCCUCCGUGCCGCAGUAAACACAAUAAGUAUUCCACCUGGGGAGUACGGCCGCAAGGUUGAAACUCAAAUGAAUUGACGGGG
Molecule: ribosomal RNA, 396 nt
Filed under: uncultured bacterium
Lineage: Bacteria
Description: partial 16S ribosomal RNA
Rfam family: Bacterial small subunit ribosomal RNA
Source: RNAcentral